RNAcentral lists this ribosomal RNA (417 nucleotides) under uncultured marine eukaryote. RNAcentral describes it as "bacterial SSU rRNA". The record is from RNAcentral.
UUAAAAAGCUCGUAUUGGAUCAGAUACACCGUGAAGUUGGCCAUUGUCUCUGGCCUCGUUGCGCGCGCUCGGAUACCGCCUUCACCAAGCGUUGUCUCUAUAGCGAACGCUCCCGUGAGUAGUCCCUUCAUUGGGAUUGAAAGCGCAUACGCGUUAACCAUACGCAUUCGGGACGUCCGCCAUUGUUACUGUGAACAAACCAGCGUGUCCAAAGCAGGUUCCGCCUGCAUGUUCGAGCAUGGAAUAACAAGGGAUCGAUCCUCUCGGUUCUUUUUGUUGGUUUUUAACCCGAGAAGGAGUAAUUCAGGCCAGGGUGUCUGAGUCGGGUUUCCCUAGACUUCGGUUUAGGCCCCGAUUAGGCCCUGUCCUUACGGGAUCAAUAAGGACUGCCGGGGUCGUAAGUACUUCUACGUCAGA